RNAcentral lists this ribosomal RNA (1310 nucleotides) under uncultured bacterium. RNAcentral describes it as "bacterial SSU rRNA". It matches the Rfam family "Bacterial small subunit ribosomal RNA", at positions 92 to 1395 of the family's 1533-position model. The record is from RNAcentral.
CUAGUGGCGGACGGGUGAGUAACGCGUGGAUAACCUGCCAUACACUGGGGGAUACCAGUCGGAAACGACUGCUAAUACCGCAUACGAUACGGAGUCGCAUGACUUUGUAUUGAAAGCCACGACGGUGUAUGAUGGAUCCGCGUCCGAUUAGCCAGUUGGCGGGGUAACGGCCCACCAAAGCGAUGAUCGGUAGCCGGACUGAGAGGUCGGCCGGCCACAUUGGGACUGAGACACGGCCCAGACUCCUGCGGGAGGCAGCAGUGGGGGAUAUUGGACAAUGGGGGGAACCCUGAUCCAGCCAUGCCGCGUGUGUGAAGAAGGCCUUUUGGUUGUAAAGCACUUUAAGCGAGGAGGAGGAGCUCUUGGUUAAUACCCAAGAUGCUUGGACGUUACUCGCAGAAUAAGCACCGGCUAACUCUGUGCCAGCAGCCGCGGUAAUACAGAGGGUGCGAGCGUUAAUCGGAUUUACUGGGCGUAAAGCGUACGUAGGCGGCUUUUUAAGUCGGAUGUGAAAUCCCUGAGCUUAACUUAGGAAUUGCAUUCGAUACUGGGAAGCUAGAGUAUGGGAGAGGAUGGUAGAAUUCCAGGUGUAGCGGUGAAAUGCGUAGAGAUCUGGAGGAAUACCGAUGGCGAAGGCAGCCAUCUGGCCUAAUACUGACGCUGAGGUACGAAAGCAUGGGGAGCAAACAGGAUUAGAUACCCUGGUAGUCCAUGCCGUAAACGAUGUCUACUAGCCGUUGGGGCCUUUGAGGCUUUAGUGGCGCAGCUAACGCGAUAAGUAGACCGCCUGGGGAGUACGGUCGCAAGACUAAAACUCAAAUGAAUUGACGGGGGCCCGCACAAGCGGUGGAGCAUGUGGUUUAAUUCGAUGCAACGCGAAGAACCUUACCUGGCCUUGACAUACAGAGAACUUUCCAGAGAUGGAUUGGUGCCUUCGGGAACUCUGAUACAGGUGCUGCAUGGCUGUCGUCAGCUCGUGUCGUGAGAUGUUGGGUUAAGUCCCGCAACGAGCGCAACCCUUUUCCUUAUUUGCCAGCGAGUAAUGUCGGGAACUUUAAGGAUACUGCCAGUGACAAACUGGAGGAAGGCGGGGACGACGUCAAGUCAUCAUGGCCCUUACGGCCAGGGCUACACACGUGCUACAAUGGUCGGUACAAAGGGUUGCUACCUAGCGAUAGGAUGCUAAUCUCAAAAAGCCGAUCGUAGUCCGGAUUGGAGUCUGCAACUCGACUCCAUGAAGUCGGAAUCGCUAGUAAUCGCGGAUCAGAAUGCCGCGGUGAAUACGUUCCCGGGCCUUGUACUCACCGCCC